UGCUAUAGAAAAUUUGGGGCUUCUGAUC
Molecule: small RNA, 28 nt
Filed under: Bombyx mori (domestic silkworm)
Lineage: Eukaryota; Metazoa; Arthropoda; Insecta; Lepidoptera; Bombycidae
Description: piRNA piR-bmo-1821379
Source: RNAcentral